Molecule: ribosomal RNA, 433 nt
Filed under: uncultured bacterium
Lineage: Bacteria
Description: partial 16S ribosomal RNA
Rfam family: Bacterial small subunit ribosomal RNA
Source: RNAcentral
AACGAACGCUGGCGGCAUGCCUAACACAUGCAAGUCGAACGAGACCUUCGGGUCUAGUGGCGCACGGGUGCGUAACGCGUGGGAACCUGCCCUUAGGUUCGGAAUAACUCCCCGAAAGGGGUGCUAAUACCGGAUAAUGUCUUCGGACCAAAGAUUUAUCGCCUUUGGAUGGGCCCGCGUUGGAUUAGCUAGUUGGUAGGGUAAAAGCCUACCAAGGCGACGAUCCAUAGCUGGUCUGAGAGGAUGAUCAGCCACACUGGGACUGAGACACGGCCCAGACUCCUACGGGAGGCAGCAGUGGGGAAUAUUGGCCAAUGGGCGAAAGCCUGAUCCCGCAAUGCCGCGUGAGUGAUGAAGGCCUUAGGGUUGUAAAGCUCUUUUACCCGGGAUGAUAAUGACAGUACCGGGAGAAUAAGCUCCGGCUAACUCCGUG